RNAcentral lists this unclassified non-coding RNA (394 nucleotides) under soil metagenome. RNAcentral's name for it is "partial contains 5.8S ribosomal RNA, internal transcribed spacer 2, and large subunit ribosomal RNA". The stretch from base 1 to 122 matches the Rfam family "5.8S ribosomal RNA", at positions 35 to 154 of the family's 154-position model. The record is from RNAcentral.
GAUGAAGAACGCAGUGAAAUGCGAUACUUGGUGUGAAUUGCAGAAUCCCGUGAACCAUCGAGUCUUUGAACGCAAGUUGCGCCCGAAGCCAUCAGGUUGAGGGCACGUCUGCCUGGGCGUCACAUAUCGUUGCCCAAUGCCUAUUGCAGUGCAAUAGGAAUUUCUAGGGCGAAUGAUGGCUUCCCGUGAGCGUUGUUGCCUCGCGGUUGGUUGAAAAUCGAGUCCUUGGUAGGGUGUGCCAUGGUAGAUGGUGGUCGAGUUAGAACGAUACCGAUCAUGUGCAUGCUCCCCAAAAUAUGGCCUCUAUGACCCACACGCGUCUUUUGACGCUCAUGACGAGACCUCAGGUCAGGCGGGGCUACCCGCUGAAUUUAAGCAUAUCAAUAAGCGGAGG